CGAUAUAAAACACCUUGUUCCAUUAGAAA
Molecule: small RNA, 29 nt
Filed under: Bombyx mori (domestic silkworm)
Lineage: Eukaryota; Metazoa; Arthropoda; Insecta; Lepidoptera; Bombycidae
Description: ovarian small RNA-14256
Source: RNAcentral